This 840-nucleotide ribosomal RNA is filed under the name uncultured marine group I thaumarchaeote. RNAcentral describes it as "SSU rRNA". It matches the Rfam family "Archaeal small subunit ribosomal RNA", at positions 27 to 873 of the family's 1478-position model. Lineage: Archaea; Thermoproteati; Nitrososphaerota. The record is from RNAcentral.
CUGCUAUCGGAUUGAUACUAAGCCAUGCGAGUCUUUGUAGUAAUACAAGGCAGACGGCUCAGUAACACGUAGUCAACCUACCCUAUGGACAAGAAUAAUCUCGGGAAACUGGGCAUAAUUCUUGAUAGAUCAUAAUGCCUGGAAUGGUUUAUGGUUAAAAUGAUUCGUCGCCAUAGGAUGGGACUGCGGCCUAUCAGCUUGUUGGUGAGGUAAUGGCCCACCAAGGCGAUUACAGGUACGGGCUCUGAGAGGAGAAGCCCGGAGAUGGGUACUGAGACACGGACCCAGGCCCUAUGGGGCGCAGCAGGCGAGAAAACUUUGCAAUGUGCGAAAGCACGACAAGGUUAAUCCGAGUGAUUUCUGCUAAAGAAAUCUUUUGCCAGUCAUAAAACCACUGGUGAAUAAGGGGUGGGCAAGUUCUGGUGUCAGCCGCCGCGGUAAAACCAGCACCUCAAGUGGUCAGGAUGAUUAUUGGGCCUAAAGCAUCCGUAGCCGGCUUUGUUAGUUUUCGGUUAAAUCCAUGUGCUCAACGCAUGGGCUGCCGAAAAUACUGCAUAGCUAGGGAGUGGGAGAGGUAGACGGUACUCAGUAGGAAGGGGUAAAAUCCUUUGAUCUAUUGAUGACCACCUGUGGCGAAGGCGGUCUACCAGAACACGUUCGACGGUGAGGGAUGAAAGCUGGGGGAGCAAACCGGAUUAGAUACCCGGGUAGUCCCAGCCGUAAACGAUGCAGACUCGAUGAUGCAUUGGCAUAAUAGCCAAUGCAGUGUCGCAGGGAAGCCGUUAAGUCUGCCGCCUGGGAAGUACGUACGCAAGUAUGAAACUUAAGGAAUUGGCGGGG